RNAcentral lists this unclassified non-coding RNA (178 nucleotides) under uncultured fungus. Its description in RNAcentral is "sequence contains ITS1". Lineage: Eukaryota; Fungi. The record is from RNAcentral.
UUAACUUAUUUCUUAGUUAUGAUUCAGAAUGACUUAAAUUAACAAGAGUUUAGUAGUCCACCGGUGGCAGCACCCUCCCGAGAGAGAGCACUAACCACCGAGGCAACAGUGGUAAGUUCACAUGGUUUGGAGAGUUAAAAACUCAGUAAUGAUCCCUCCGCAGGUUCACCUACGGAGA